RNAcentral lists this ribosomal RNA (374 nucleotides) under uncultured prokaryote. RNAcentral describes it as "bacterial SSU rRNA". It matches the Rfam family "Bacterial small subunit ribosomal RNA", at positions 524 to 896 of the family's 1533-position model. The record is from RNAcentral.
UACGGGGGGUGCAAGCGUUAUUCGGAAUUAUUGGGCGUAAAGGGCGCGUAGGCGGUUUUAAUAGUCAGAUGUGAAAGCCCCGGGCUUAACCUGGGAAGAGCAUUUGAAACUUUAUAACUUGAGUACGGUAGAGGAAAGCGGAAUUCCUGGUGUAGAGGUGAAAUUCGUAGAUAUCAGGAGGAACACCGGUGGCGAAGGCGGCUUUCUGGACCUGUACUGACGCUGAGGCGCGAAGGCGUGGGUAGCGAACAGGAUUAGAUACCCUGGUAGUCCACGCAGUAAACGUUGUACACUUGGUGUUGCGGGUAUUGACCCCUGCAGUGCCGAAGCAAACGCGAUAAGUGUACCGCCUGGGGAGUACGGUCGCAAGACUA